Molecule: long non-coding RNA, 318 nt
Organism: Cyprinus carpio carpio
Lineage: Eukaryota; Metazoa; Chordata; Actinopteri; Cypriniformes; Cyprinidae
Source: Ensembl
UACCAAGAGACUUUUUUGUAGGUAUUGGUGUGUUACAUGUGUGUACCGAUUUUUGUACAUGUACGUGAAACGUAGCUCGAGGCGCACUCCGUUGAAUAUGUAUAGGUGGCGCUAUCGAGGCAUUUUGCCACACCCAAUGGAAUAUUGGCCUUCAGAUGUGUUCAGGCCAGGACACUUAUCGAACAUGUGAAUUUGGGCAAGAUCGGACAUUUUAUACCUGAGUUACAAUAACUUUUAUUCCCAUGGCGAGACAUCGAACUUUGUGACGGCGCCAUGGACACGCCCUUUAACGAAAACUCAAGAUCUUCACAAUUUAAC